RNAcentral lists this long non-coding RNA (569 nucleotides) under Lactuca sativa (garden lettuce). RNAcentral's name for it is "long non-coding RNA (LSAT_LNC004028)". Lineage: Eukaryota; Viridiplantae; Streptophyta; Magnoliopsida; Asterales; Asteraceae. The record is from RNAcentral.
UAUCAAUUUCAUUAAUGAACUCACCUUUUAAUUUCAAAAUUUUCAAAUUAAAGCUCAUUAGUUCUUUUGUUUAUUUAUUUAAAUUAUUUGUUUAAAUUUAAAAGAUAAAAAACAUUUCAAUUAUAAUAAUUCAUAAUUUUUUUAUUUUCUUAUAAAUUCAAAGUGUUCAAUAUAUUUUGACAUUUAUAUUUAACUUUCUUUUUAAAUUAACUCAUGUAAUACAUGAGUCUCACAACUAGUAACUCAUUAUAUUUAAACCCUAAAAAUAUCCACCCUCAUUUUGACAUCCAAAGAUACGAAAUUAUCUCUGAUGGCACAAAAUGGGCACAUGAUUAACAAUGUUGUAAUUAUCCUAUGUAUAGCUUUCUUGUUUGUUUGAUGAUAUAGGUUGAAAUGUAGUAGCAUUUUGUAUGUUUUUUGCCCGAAAUUCGAUAAAAAAAAAAAAAAAAAGAAGAGCGUAACCACACAUGGUAUCUUUUAAUGCACAUAAUGUGCAUUAACGACUUAGCUUUCUUGUUUGUUUGAUGAUAUAGGUUGAAAUGUAGUAGCAUUUUGUAUGUUUUUUGCCC